CGCGUAGGCAGUCUUGUCGGUCAGAUGUGAAAGCCCAGGGCUCAACCCUGGACGUGCAUUUGAAACAGCAAGACUUGAGUACGGGAGAGGAAAGCGGAAUUCCUGGUGUAGAGGUGAAAUUCGUAGAUAUCAGGAGGAACACCGAUGGCGAAGGCAGCUUUCUGGACCGAUACUGACGCUGAGGCGCGAAGGCGUGGGUAGCGAACAGGAUUAGAUACCCUGGUAGUCC
Molecule: ribosomal RNA, 229 nt
Filed under: uncultured bacterium
Lineage: Bacteria
Description: partial 16S ribosomal RNA
Rfam family: Bacterial small subunit ribosomal RNA
Source: RNAcentral